CUAUAAGAUAAUGUAAGGCGCAUAAGGAUUUUUGAAAUCCUAAGAUAGGUUCAAUUCCUAGUCUUAUA
This 68-nucleotide transfer RNA is filed under the name Vema ewingi. RNAcentral describes it as "tRNA-Gln". The record is from RNAcentral. Lineage: Eukaryota; Metazoa; Mollusca; Monoplacophora; Tryblidiida; Neopilinidae.